CCUACGGGAGGCUGCAGUGGGGAAUAUUGCACAAUGGGGGAAACCCUGAUGCAGCGACGCCGCGUGAGUGAAGAAGUAAUUCGUUAUGUAAAGCUCUAUCAGUAGGGAAGAAAAUGACGGUAACUGAGUAAGAAGCCCCGGCUAACUACGUGCCAGCAGCCGCGGUAAUACGUAGGGGGCAAGCGUUAUCCGGAUUUACUGGGUGGAAAGGGAGCGUAGACGGCAGUGCAAGUCUGGGGUGAAAGGCGGGGGCUCAACCCCCGGACUGCUCUGGAAACUGUACGGCUGGAGUGCAGGAGAGGUAAGUGGAAUUCCUAGUGUAGCGGUGAAAUGCGUAGAUAUUAGGAGGAACACCAGUGGCGAAGGCGGCUUACUGGACUGUAACUGACGUUGAGGCUCGAAAGCGUGGGGAGCAAACAGGAUUAGAUACCCCUGUAGUC
This 440-nucleotide ribosomal RNA is filed under the name uncultured bacterium. RNAcentral describes it as "partial 16S ribosomal RNA". It matches the Rfam family "Bacterial small subunit ribosomal RNA", at positions 338 to 795 of the family's 1533-position model. The record is from RNAcentral.